CCUACAGGAGGCAGCAGUGGGGAAUAUUGGACAAUGGGGGGAACCCUGAUCCAGCCAUGCCGCGUGUGUGAAGAAGGCCCUCGGGUUGUAAAGCACUUUCAGUGAGGAAGAACGCCUGGUGGUUAAUACCCAUCAGGAAAGACAUCACUCACAGAAGAAGCACCGGCUAACUCCGUGCCAGCAGCCGCGGUAAUACGGAGGGUGCGAGCGUUAAUCGGAAUUACUGGGCGUAAAGCGCGCGUAGGUGGCUUGAUAAGCCGGUUGUGAAAGCCCCGGGCUCAACCUGGGAACGACAUCCGGAACUGUCAAGCUAGAGUGCAGGAGAGGAAGGUAGAAUUCCCGGUGUAGCGGUGAAAUGCGUAGAGAUCGGGAGGAAUACCAGUGGCGAAGGCGGCCUUCUGGACUGACACUGACACUGAGGUGCGAAAGCGUGGGUAGCAAACAGGAUUAGAUACCCCAGUAGUC
Molecule: ribosomal RNA, 465 nt
Filed under: Vreelandella stevensii
Lineage: Bacteria; Pseudomonadati; Pseudomonadota; Gammaproteobacteria; Oceanospirillales; Halomonadaceae
Description: partial 16S ribosomal RNA
Rfam family: Bacterial small subunit ribosomal RNA
Source: RNAcentral